CCUCUGUGAACACAACACAGCACAUCCACAGAAGAACUCCAGACUAUUCACCAUGUCCUCGCUGCUGGAAGGUGCUGGAAAAUUCCAAGAGAGUCUUGUGGAUUGGUUUUCCACGGAGAAGCACCAUCAGAGCUGGGCCUAAACUGCCCCCCAUGGAGCUUGUCAAGACCUUGGUUCCCAUUCCAUUCCUCCUAGGAAUGCAGGAAGAGCAAGACGUGACUCAAACACAGCUUGGGCACCUGGGUUUCCUUUCUAGAGGUUCCACAGUAACAGCAAGAGGGGAGAAGAUGAAAGGAAUGGAUAAGAAAUGCUCUCCAAAAUAACAAGGAUCUUAGCAGCAGACUUAGAAGAAAUGUAGAGUAGUCGACAGCACCUGCACUGAGACAUGAUAUUUUCAUCUAAAGCCAGAAUAAAGGUAAACUUUCCUCAGUA
Non-coding RNA from Cyanistes caeruleus (blue tit), 432 nucleotides. The record is from RefSeq and is a predicted model, not a curated record. Lineage: Eukaryota; Metazoa; Chordata; Aves; Passeriformes; Paridae.